UGGUUCAUAGGUCAAUGCUCAACUACUGAGCCAUGCUGGCCAGGUGAAGAAAUUAUUUUUAAGCAUAUUGAAAUUAAGAAGCACCAACCUUAAAGCAGAAAGGAGUUAUUUGAAAUGAUGACCUGAUUACCUUGAUGAAGAAAAUCAUAUAGCUGCUAUCUACCUUUUGAAAAUGUGGCUUUUGGUUUGAGUGCAGGCUGGAAGAUUGUGAAGCUUUGCACGUGUACAGAGCUGCACCUUCUGCUAAACCAGGGGCAGAAAGUCACUUUUGAAAGUAUAUUUCCCUGAAAGUCUUCAUCCGUCUAAACUUCAGAGCACCACUUGACAGAAAAAAACCUUCCCUUCAGCAUUUUCUCCUCCACUGCCUCCUGUGAUGUGAUGUCCGAGCCCUCUCACCGCCUGACCCAUCUUGUCAGGGAUUUAGUGCAGCAUCAACUGAAGAGCCGAGCAUUCUCAAGAUUCAAAGUCCCAGAUGGAAGCACUUGAUUGACUGAGCCUACGUCACGUGCCUGCACCAUAGUGAUCAGAGACACACAUGAGUAGAACAUUCCCUCCCUGAUAUAUGUAUGUGUAUAUCAUGGAAAAGAUAAACUUCUCAAUGCCUGGUGAAGAAUUUGAACAGAUCUUUCUCUC
Molecule: long non-coding RNA, 633 nt
Organism: Myotis brandtii (Brandt's bat)
Lineage: Eukaryota; Metazoa; Chordata; Mammalia; Chiroptera; Vespertilionidae
Exons: 6
Source: RefSeq, a predicted model, not a curated record